Molecule: transfer RNA, 71 nt
Filed under: Heterocephalus glaber (naked mole-rat)
Lineage: Eukaryota; Metazoa; Chordata; Mammalia; Rodentia; Bathyergidae
Rfam family: tRNA
About the family: Transfer RNA (tRNA) molecules are approximately 80 nucleotides in length.
Source: Rfam by way of RNAcentral
AGGGAUGUAGCUUAAUGGUAAGUGCUUGCCUAGCAUGCAUGAGGCCCUGGGUUCCAUCUCCAGUAUCACCA